UCAAGAAACUUCCACAAUGGGCGAAAGCCUGAUGGAGCGACGUCGCGUGAUGGACGAAGUGCUUCGGCACGUAAACAUCUUUUAUGUGGGAUGAAAUUAUUGACAGUACCACAUGAAUAAGGGGCUCCUAACUCUGUGCCAGCAGGAGCGGUAAUACAGAGGCCCCAAGCGUUAUCCGGAAUCACUGGGCGUAAAGGGUGUCGAGGCGGUUGUAUUAGUCGUUCGUAAAAUCUACGAGCUUAACUUGUAGGCGGCGAACGAAACGGUACGACUUGAGGUUUGGAGAGGUGCGUGGAACUCACGGUGUAGGGGUGAAAUCCGUUGAUAUCGUGGGGAGCACCAAAGGCGAAGGCAGCGCACUGGCCAAAAUCUGACGCUCACACACGAAAGCUAGGGUAGCGAAGAGGAUUAGAUACCCACGUAGUCCCUGAGCGGGCUGGCAAGGCGCAU
Molecule: ribosomal RNA, 450 nt
Filed under: uncultured bacterium
Lineage: Bacteria
Description: partial 16S ribosomal RNA
Rfam family: Bacterial small subunit ribosomal RNA
Source: RNAcentral